RNAcentral lists this small RNA (77 nucleotides) under Serratia sp. Ag1. Its description in RNAcentral is "isrK". It matches the Rfam family "isrK Hfq binding RNA". The record is from RNAcentral. RNAcentral also lists the same sequence under 1 other name. Lineage: Bacteria; Pseudomonadati; Pseudomonadota; Gammaproteobacteria; Enterobacterales; Yersiniaceae.
GCAGCGGCAAAAUCCGCUGCCGGGCGUGGAAACCCGGAUUUCAUAAGAGCGCACAACCGCGCUAAAGCGGUUUUUUA